Molecule: ribosomal RNA, 684 nt
Filed under: Escherichia coli
Lineage: Bacteria; Pseudomonadati; Pseudomonadota; Gammaproteobacteria; Enterobacterales; Enterobacteriaceae
Description: bacterial SSU rRNA
Rfam family: Bacterial small subunit ribosomal RNA
Source: RNAcentral
GGAGCUAACGCGUUAAGUCGACCGCCUGGGGAGUACGGCCGCAAGGUUAAAACUCAAAUGAAUUGACGGGGGCCCGCACAAGCGGUGGAGCAUGUGGUUUAAUUCGAUGCAACGCGAAGAACCUUACCUGGUCUUGACAUCCACAGAACUUUCCAGAGAUGGAUUGGUGCCUUCGGGAACUGUGAGACAGGUGCUGCAUGGCUGUCGUCAGCUCGUGUUGUGAAAUGUUGGGUUAAGUCCCGCAACGAGCGCAACCCUUAUCCUUUGUUGCCAGCGGUCCGGCCGGGAACUCAAAGGAGACUGCCAGUGAUAAACUGGAGGAAGGUGGGGAUGACGUCAAGUCAUCAUGGCCCUUACGACCAGGGCUACACACGUGCUACAAUGGCGCAUACAAAGAGAAGCGACCUCGCGAGAGCAAGCGGACCUCAUAAAGUGCGUCGUAGUCCGGAUUGGAGUCUGCAACUCGACUCCAUGAAGUCGGAAUCGCUAGUAAUCGUGGAUCAGAAUGCCACGGUGAAUACGUUCCCGGGCCUUGUACACACCGCCCGUCACACCAUGGGAGUGGGUUGCAAAAGAAGUAGGUAGCUUAACCUUCGGGAGGGCGCUUACCACUUUGUGAUUCAUGACUGGGGUGAAGUCGUAACAAGGUAACCGUAGGGGAACCUGCGGUUGGAUCACCUCCUU